GACGAACGCUGGCGGCGUGCCUAAUACAUGCAAGUUGAGCGAUGAAGAUUGGUGCUUGCACCAAUUUGAAGAGCAGCGAACGGGUGAGUAACGCGUGGGGAAUCUGCCUUUGAGCGGGGGACAACAUUUGGAAACGAAUGCUAAUACCGCAUAAUAACUUUAAACAUAAGUUUUAAGUUUGAAAGAUGCAAUUGCAUCACUCAAAGAUGAUCCCGCGUUGUAUUAGCUAGUUGGUGAGGUAAAGGCUCACCAAGGCGAUGAUACAUAGCCGACCUGAGAGGGUGAUCGGCCACAUUGGGACUGAGACACGGCCCAAACUCCUACGGGAGGCAGCAGUAGGGAAUCUUCGGCAAUGGACGAAAGUCUGACCGAGCAACGCCGCGUGAGUGAAGAAGGUUUUCGGAUCGUAAAACUCUGUUGGUAGAGAAGAACGUUGGUGAGAGUGGAAAGCUCAUCAGGUGACGGUAACUACCCAGAAAGGGACGGCUAACUACGUG
RNAcentral lists this ribosomal RNA (497 nucleotides) under uncultured bacterium. Its description in RNAcentral is "partial 16S ribosomal RNA". It matches the Rfam family "Bacterial small subunit ribosomal RNA", at positions 28 to 507 of the family's 1533-position model. The record is from RNAcentral.